This 387-nucleotide ribosomal RNA is filed under the name Triticum aestivum (bread wheat). Its description in RNAcentral is "partial small subunit ribosomal RNA". Lineage: Eukaryota; Viridiplantae; Streptophyta; Magnoliopsida; Poales; Poaceae. The record is from RNAcentral.
AUGCCAAAGCUCUGCCACCUCGAGAUAGGAAACAUGCUCAUUAAGACUAGAGUUGUUGUCAAGAUCGCCUCCGAGUGCCAUGACCUCAAGUUCUUAGCUUUGCAUGGUUGUUGGGACGUCGAUGAUAAGCUCUUACAAGAGAAAUAUCUUGGGAUAAAAACCCUCGGCCCCCAUGUGGAGACUGCUAUGAGAAUCGCGUCAGUGCGCAAUCUCUCAAUACUUUGGAGAUUUCGAGGAGCAAUGUCAUGCACAAAGAGUUCACUAGGUUACAUUGCUGGAUGUAAAGCAGCUGCACCAAGAUUGGCGCCUAUGCUCUGGAGGCAUUUAGCAAGAACGAAAAAUCCCUGGACAGAUUUCUGCGAGUCAUACACUCCUUUAGAGAUAUGA